This 18-nucleotide microRNA is filed under the name Macrophomina phaseolina MS6. RNAcentral describes it as "miR-1268". The record is from RNAcentral. Lineage: Eukaryota; Fungi; Ascomycota; Dothideomycetes; Botryosphaeriales; Botryosphaeriaceae.
CGGUGGUGGUGGUGGGCG